RNAcentral lists this ribosomal RNA (460 nucleotides) under uncultured bacterium. RNAcentral describes it as "partial 16S ribosomal RNA". It matches the Rfam family "Bacterial small subunit ribosomal RNA", at positions 338 to 795 of the family's 1533-position model. The record is from RNAcentral.
CCUACGGUGUGCAGCAGUGAGGAAUAUUGGUCAAUGGGCGCGAGCCUGAACCAGCCCAGUAGCGUGAAGGAUGACUGCCCUACGGGUUGUCAACUUCUUUUAUAAAGGAAUAAAGUGAGGCACGUGUGCCUUUUUGUAUGUACUUUAUGAAUAAGGAUCGGCUAACUCCGUGCCAGCAGCAGCGGUAAUACGGCGGAUCCGAGCGUUAUCCGGCGUUAUUGGGUUUAAAGGGAGCGUAGAUGGGGUGUUAAGUCAGUUGUGAAAGUUUGCGGCUCAACCGUAAAAUUGCAAGUGAUACUGGCAGUCGUGAGUACAGUUGAGGUAGGCGGAAUUCGUGGUGUAGCGGUGAAAUGCUGAGAUAUCACGAAGAACUCCGAUUGCGAAGGCAGCUUACUAAACUGCCACUGACAUUGAUGCUCGAAAGUGUGGGUAUCAAACAGGAUUAGAGACCCCAGUAGUC